AUCAACUUUCGAUGGUAGGAUAGAGGCCUACCAUGGUGGUAACGGGUAACGGGGUGUUAGGGCACGACACCGGAGAGGGAGCCUGAGAAACGGCUACCACAUCCAAGGAUGGCAGCAGGCGCGCAAAUUACCCAAUCCCGACACGGGGAGGUAGUGACAAUAAAUAACAAUACGGGGUUCUUUCGGAUUUCGUAAUUGGAAUGAGUACAAUUUAAAUCUCUUAACGAGGAACAAUUGGAGGGCAAGUCUGGUGCCAGCAGCCGCGGUAAUUCCAGCUCCAAUAGCGUAUAUUAAAGUUGCUGCAGUUAAAAAGCUCGUAGUUGAAUUUCGGGACCAUCAUGUCGGUCGUGCCUCGGUACGUACUGGCAUUGUUGGUUUCUCCCUUCUGACGAACCACGAUGUCAUUUAUUUGGUGUUGUGGGGAAUCAGGACUGUUACUUUGAAAAAAUUAGAGUGUUUAAAGCAGGCUCACGCUUGAAUACAUUAGCAUGGAAUAAUGAAAUAGGACGUUUGAUUCUAUUUUGUUGGUUUCUAGGAUCGACGUAAUGAUUAAUAGGGAUAGUUGGGGGCAUUAGUAUUCAAUUGUCAGAGGUGAAAUUCUUGGAUUUAUUGAAGACUAACUACUGCGAAAGCAUUUGCCAAGGAUGUUUUCAUUAAUCAAGAACGAAAGUUAGGGGAUCGAAGACGAUCAGAUACCGUCGUAGUCUUAACCAUAAACUAUGCCGACUAGGGAUCGGAUGAUGUUAAUUUUUUAAUGACUCAUUCGGCGCCUUACGGGAAACCAAAGUGUUUGGGUUC
This 798-nucleotide ribosomal RNA is filed under the name uncultured Glomeromycotina. RNAcentral describes it as "SSU rRNA". It matches the Rfam family "Eukaryotic small subunit ribosomal RNA", at positions 314 to 1114 of the family's 1831-position model. The record is from RNAcentral. Lineage: Eukaryota; Fungi; Glomeromycota.